Long non-coding RNA from Megalobrama amblycephala (Wuchang bream), 518 nucleotides. RefSeq lists it as uncharacterized. The record is from RefSeq and is a predicted model, not a curated record. Lineage: Eukaryota; Metazoa; Chordata; Actinopteri; Cypriniformes; Xenocyprididae. The transcript has 3 exons.
AAAAUCAUGAUGCCCCCUAAUAGUAGGCUACUGAAUAUAAGAUGUGGGAUAAUAUAAGAAUGGGACAUUUUAUCCAAGUCAUCUCAAUGGUAAAAAGUGUCCCAAUCACCCUGAACUGGAGCUCUAAAAUAAUGUUAUUGACUUCAACUGAUGAAUGCAGCCAAAGAAAAGAUGAAGAAUGGAAAAGCACUUUGCUGGCAAAGAAAUUGGAAAAUAACACAGGUUACGCGCAUGUAUCCAUGGCAACGCUCGGCUGCGUCGACAGUUAACGGUCCUGCCGGUGAUUUUCUCAGAUGAGGCCUUGAGUUUUCUCUUUCGUCGGUCGAAAAGGUUAGAAGCCAUCGAAAAAACUGCCAUCGGACUACCACAGCUGACAACGAGAGACGCGCGUGCACAACUGCAUAACACACACACACACACACACACGGAAAGAGCACAACAAUUAUGAAACUGCUCAUUUAUUAUAAAUAAAUAAAUGUAUUUUUCUCCUUACAACGUGUUUGUGUUCUUUUGUUAAC